RNAcentral lists this ribosomal RNA (253 nucleotides) under uncultured bacterium. Its description in RNAcentral is "partial 16S ribosomal RNA". It matches the Rfam family "Bacterial small subunit ribosomal RNA", at positions 524 to 776 of the family's 1533-position model. The record is from RNAcentral.
UACGUAGGGUGCAAGCGUUGUCCGGAAUUAUUGGGCGUAAAGAGCUCGUAGGCGGUUUGUCGCGUCUGCUGUGAAAACUCGGGGCUUAACUCCGGGCCUGCAGUGGGUACGGGCAGACUAGAGUGCGGUAGGGGAGACUGGAAUUCCUGGUGUAGCGGUGAAAUGCGCAGAUAUCAGGAGGAACACCGGUGGCGAAGGCGGGUCUCUGGGCCGCAACUGACGCUGAGGAGCGAAAGCGUGGGGAGCGAACAGG